ACGCUCGACACCUACGGAGGCAGCAGUGGGGAAUAUUGCACAAUGGGGGAAACCCUGAUGCAGCAACGCCGCGUGAAGGAAGACGGUUUUCGGAUUGUAAACUUCUGUUCUUAGUGAAGAAUAGUGACGGUAGCUAAGGAGCAAGCCACGGCUAACUACGUGCCAGCAGCCGCGGUAAUCUGAGCGGGCUGGCAAGGC
RNAcentral lists this ribosomal RNA (198 nucleotides) under uncultured bacterium. RNAcentral describes it as "partial 16S ribosomal RNA". It matches the Rfam family "Bacterial small subunit ribosomal RNA", at positions 328 to 539 of the family's 1533-position model. The record is from RNAcentral.